AGAGUUUGAUCCUGGCUCAGAUUGAACGCUGGCGGCAUGCCUUACACAUGCAAGUCGAACGGCAGCACGGGCUUCGGUCUGGUGGCGAGUGGCGAACGGGUGAGUAAUGUAUCGGAACGUACCUUUCAGUGGGGGAUAACGUAGCGAAAGUUACGCUAAUACCGCAUAUUCUGUGAGCAGGAAAGCAGGGGAUCGCAAGACCUUGCCUGAUUGAGCGGCCGAUAUCAGAUUAGCUAGUUGGUGGGGUAAAGGCCUACCAAGGCUACGAUCUGUAGCGGGUCUGAGAGGAUGAUCCGCCACACUGGAACUGAGACACGGUCCAGACUCCUACGGGAGGCAGCAGUGGGGAAUUUUGGACAAUGGGGGCAACCCUGAUCCAGCCAUGCCGCGUGAGUGAAGAAGGCCUUCGGGUU
Molecule: ribosomal RNA, 413 nt
Filed under: uncultured bacterium
Lineage: Bacteria
Description: bacterial SSU rRNA
Rfam family: Bacterial small subunit ribosomal RNA
Source: RNAcentral